GUUAUCGGACAGCUUAAGGUCACUGAGCCCCUUGAUGUCACGAAGCGUGUUGAAUAUUUCAGGGAGAUCCAGAAACCCUAUACUAAUACAGAAGCCAGCAAGAUGAAAUUGAGGCAAAAUUUUUUGAAGAGCGAGAUGCGCAUGAAGCGAAGUACCAGAAGCUUUAUGAACAGUAUACAAAGAGGUAUAACAUUGUAAAUGAAGUUGUGGAAGUUGAUGGAAUAAAUGCCAAACCAGCCAGUGAAAAUGCUGCUGAGGGGAAAUAUGCAGAUGCUAAAGAUAUAUCUAUAUAUGUACGAGAACUGGAUUUUGCAAAUAAUUACACAUGCAUGCAAAUAAUUACACAUGCAUGUAUAUAUGUAUGAGAACAGUGAGCAGUUCUCCACCGUUACUAUAAUCCGUACCCCUUCAACACCAACCAUUUUAGUUAUCACAAUGCCUGAUCAU
This is a long non-coding RNA of Oryza brachyantha (malo sina), 447 nucleotides long. RefSeq lists it as uncharacterized. NCBI's taxonomy places the organism in Eukaryota, Viridiplantae, Streptophyta, Magnoliopsida, Poales, Poaceae. The transcript is spliced from 4 exons. The record is from RefSeq and is a predicted model, not a curated record.